Molecule: ribosomal RNA, 840 nt
Filed under: Corollospora maritima
Lineage: Eukaryota; Fungi; Ascomycota; Sordariomycetes; Microascales; Halosphaeriaceae
Description: partial large subunit ribosomal RNA
Rfam family: Eukaryotic large subunit ribosomal RNA
Source: RNAcentral
ACGAGUGCAAUAAGCGGAGGAAAAGAAACCUAACGGCGAGUGAAGCGGCAACAGCUCAAAUUUGAAAUCUGGCUCCCUAGGGGGUCCGAGUUGUAAUUUGCAGAGGAUGCUUUUGGCGAGGCGCCGGCCGAGUGCCCUGGAAUGGGACGCCGUAGAGGGUGAGAGCCCCGUACGGCCGGACGUCGAGCCUCUGUAAAGCUCCCUCGACGAGUCGAGUAGUUUGGGAAUGCUGCUCUAAACGGGAGGUAAACCCCUUCUAAAGCUAAAUACCGGCCAGAGACCGAUAGCGCACAAGUAGAGUGAUCGAAAGAUGAAAAGCACUUUGAAAAGAGAGUUAAACAGCACGUGAAAUUGUUGAAAGGGAAGCGCUUGUGGCCAGACUUGCGCCCGGCGGCUCAGCCGUCCCUCGUGGGCGGUGCACUCCGCCGGGCUCAGGCCAGCAUCAGCUCGCUGCUGGGGAGAAAGGCGGUGGGAACGUGGCUCUUCGGAGUGUUAUAGCCCGCCGCCAUGCCCUCCAGCGGGCUGAGGUUCGCGCCUUAGGGCAAGGAUGCUGGCGUAAUGGCCAUCAGCGACCCGUCUUGAAACACGGACCAAGGAGUCGUCCUAGCAUGCGAGUGUUCGGGUGCCAAACCCCUACGCGAAAUGAAAGUGAACGGAGGUGAGAGCUUCGGCGCAUCAUCGACCGAUCCUGAUGUUUUCGGAUGGAUUUGAGUAGGAGCAUGCUGGGCCGGACCCGAAAGAAGGUGAACUAUGCUUGGAUAGGGCAAAGCCAGAGGAAACUCUGGUGGAGGCUCGCAGCGGUUCUGACGUGCAAAACGUCAACAGACGGGACCGGAUGCU